This 77-nucleotide transfer RNA is filed under the name Streptococcus mutans. Its description in RNAcentral is "tRNA-Pro". It matches the Rfam family "tRNA". From Rfam's summary of the family: Transfer RNA (tRNA) molecules are approximately 80 nucleotides in length. Their secondary structure includes four short double-helical elements and three loops (D, anti-codon, and T loops). Further hydrogen bonds mediate the characteristic L-shaped molecular structure. tRNAs have two regions of fundamental functional importance: the anti-codon, which is responsible for specific mRNA codon recognition, and the 3' end, to which the tRNAs corresponding amino acid is attached (by aminoacyl-tRNA synthetases). tRNAs cope with the degeneracy of the genetic code in two manners: having more than one tRNA (with a specific anti-codon) for a particular amino acid; and 'wobble' base-pairing, i.e. permitting non-standard base-pairing at the 3rd anti-codon position. Lineage: Bacteria; Bacillati; Bacillota; Bacilli; Lactobacillales; Streptococcaceae. RNAcentral also lists the same sequence under 176 other names. The record is from RNAcentral.
CGGAAUGUAGCUCAGCUUGGUAGAGCACUUGGUUUGGGACCAAGGGGUCGUAGGUUCGAAUCCUGUCAUUCCGACCA